CCUACGGGAGGCAGCAGUAGGGAAUCUUCCACAAUGGGCGAAAGCCUGGUGGAGCAACGCCGCGUGAGCGAAGAAGGUCUUCGGAUCGUAAAGCUCUGUUGUAAGGGAAGAACAAGUGCGGUAGUAACUGACCGCACCCUGACGGUACCUUACGAGAAAGCCACGGCUAACUACGUGCCAGCAGCCGCGGUAAU
RNAcentral lists this ribosomal RNA (194 nucleotides) under uncultured Ureibacillus sp. Its description in RNAcentral is "partial 16S ribosomal RNA". It matches the Rfam family "Bacterial small subunit ribosomal RNA", at positions 338 to 524 of the family's 1533-position model. Lineage: Bacteria; Bacillati; Bacillota; Bacilli; Caryophanales; Caryophanaceae. The record is from RNAcentral.